RNAcentral lists this ribosomal RNA (482 nucleotides) under uncultured bacterium. RNAcentral's name for it is "bacterial SSU rRNA". It matches the Rfam family "Bacterial small subunit ribosomal RNA", at positions 30 to 506 of the family's 1533-position model. The record is from RNAcentral.
UGAACGUUGGCGGCGUGGAUUAGGCAUGCAAGUCGAGCGAGAACCAGUCUUCGGACUGGGGACAGCGGCGAACGGGGUAGGAAUACCUCGGUGACGUACCCCCCGGUCGGGGAUAGCGGCGGGAAACUGCCGGUAAUACCCGAUGAUCUGCCCAGGUUUUACGACAGGGGCAGCAAAGGUGUGAUUCCGUCGGGGGAGCGGCUGAGGUCGUAUUAGCUGGUUGGUAGGGUAACGGCCUACCAAGGCGAUGAUGCGUAGGGGGUGUGAGAGCAUGGCCCCCACCACUGGCACUGAGACACUGGCCAGACACCUACGGGUGGCUGCAGUCGAGAAUCUUCGGCAAUGGGCGCAAGCCUGACCGAGCGACGCCGCGUGCGGGAUGAAGGUCUUCGGAUUGUAAACCGCUGUCGGAGGGGAUGAAAUGCAGGAGAGCAAUCUCUCCUGUUUGACAGAGCCUCGGAGGAAGCACGGGCUAAGUUCGU